Pseudopipra pipra is the source of this 427-nucleotide long non-coding RNA. RefSeq lists it as uncharacterized. The record is from RefSeq and is a predicted model, not a curated record. Lineage: Eukaryota; Metazoa; Chordata; Aves; Passeriformes; Pipridae. The transcript has 3 exons.
GACCUUCAAAGGUUGUCUAGUCCAACCUCCCUGCAACAAGCAAGAACAUCUUAAAUCAGAUCAGCAGAGGGCAAGAAGGUGCAGUCACAGGCCAAACUGUGCCAGUCUCAGACCGCCUGCUGUCGGGAUGAGAGGAUGACUAGGAGUAGAACAUCCCACCUCCACCGUUCCGGCCAGUGCACUCGUCACUGCAUUAUCUCAGGCCUUCUGAGGGAACAGUACUGCUCCUUUUCACUCUUUCCCGCUGAUGGCAUUGUGAGUCCCCAGGAUGCAAUAAAGGUCUACCUUCUUAUGCUUUAUUAGAGGCAAUAACUCUACUUACAUCUAGGAACAGACAAUAAAAAACCUAUACAUAUAUAUAUAUAUAAAAGCUUUAACUAUGUGGUUGCUUUGGGGAGUUAAUGUCAUGCAAACAAAAAUCUAAUGA